CCCAGACUCCUACGGGAGGCAGCAGUGGGGGAUAUUGCACAAUGGGGGGAACCCUGAUGCAGCGACGCCGCGUGGGUGAAGAAGCGCCUCGGCGCGUAAAGCCCUGUCAGCAGGGAAGAAAAUGACGGUACCUGAAGAAGAAGCCCCGGCUAACUACGUGCCAGCAGCCGCGGUAAUACGUAGGGGGCAAGCGUUAUCCGGAUUUACUGGAUGUAAAGGGGGCGCAGACGGCGAUGCAAGCCAGGAGUGAAAGCCCGGGGCCCAACCCCGGGACUGCUCUUGGAACUGCGUGGCUGGAGUGCAGGAGGGGCAGGCGGAAUUCCUGGUGUAGCGGUGAAAUGCGUAGAUAUCAGGAGGAACACCGGUGGCGAAGGCGGCCUGCUGGACUGCAACUGACGUUGAGGCCCGAAAGCGUGGGGAGCAAACAGGAUUAGAUACCCUUGUA
This 445-nucleotide ribosomal RNA is filed under the name uncultured bacterium. RNAcentral's name for it is "partial 16S ribosomal RNA". It matches the Rfam family "Bacterial small subunit ribosomal RNA", at positions 330 to 792 of the family's 1533-position model. The record is from RNAcentral.